Molecule: ribosomal RNA, 380 nt
Filed under: Pseudomonas sp. MG-04
Lineage: Bacteria; Pseudomonadati; Pseudomonadota; Gammaproteobacteria; Pseudomonadales; Pseudomonadaceae
Description: partial 16S ribosomal RNA
Rfam family: Bacterial small subunit ribosomal RNA
Source: RNAcentral
CCUGAUCCAGCCAUGCCGCGUGUGUGAAGAAGGUCUUCGGAUUGUAAAGCACUUUAAGUUGGGAGGAAGGGCAUUAACCUAAUACGUUAGUGUUUUGACGUUACCGACAGAAUAAGCACCGGCUAACUUCGUGCCAGCAGCCGCGGUAAUACGAAGGGUGCAAGCGUUAAUCGGAAUUACUGGGCGUAAAGCGCGCGCUAGGUGGUUUGUUAAGUUGAAUGUGAAAGCCCCGGGCUCAACCUGGGACUGCAUCCAAAACUGGCAAGCUANGAGUAUGGCAGAGGGUNNUNGANUUUCCUGUGUAAGCGGNGAANUGCGUAGGNUAUAGGAGGGAACACCAGUGGCGANGGCGACCACCUGGCUAAAUCUGACACUNAGGU